RNAcentral lists this long non-coding RNA (2971 nucleotides) under Manihot esculenta (cassava). Its description in RNAcentral is "long non-coding RNA (MESC_LNC006837)". Lineage: Eukaryota; Viridiplantae; Streptophyta; Magnoliopsida; Malpighiales; Euphorbiaceae. The record is from RNAcentral.
AAGAACGCCAACCUUUUUAUUCAGCCAAUAACUGAGAUCAACUACCUUUGUCCUUUAUGGUGAUCAAUUUCAUCUUGUAGACAUUCAUGGUCAGUUCACAACUUGAAGUCUUACUAAAACUAAAUCUUUCGAAUAUUAAAAGUUGUUUUACUCAAAAUGGACGUCGAAAUUGAAAUCGUGGUGGCAAAAUUAGCAUAGAGGAGGUCCUGUUUUGCUAAUGAGAUAGAUGCUGAAGUGGAAGAGAUGUGUUGACUGAGUUGGCACUGACAUGCUGUUGACUGGCUGUGGCUAUCUCUGAGUCAGCGUGACAUGUUAAUGAUGUCGGCAGUGCAGACACCAAAAUAAAGCUUGGUGAGGAGCAGGAAAGUGAUCUAAGCUUGGGUGAGUUGUAAGGCUGUUAGUGCUGGUCUAUUGCACUCAAGGGGACGAGAUCUAGACUGACUUAUGCAAUGUUGUCUUAUACUGCUUGGUAGACUUUCUGUUCAUUCACGCGGUGUCUAAGAUAAUGUUAAAUACUACCACGUAGGAAUCCGUACAAGAAGCAGAUAGUGGGGCAUGAUAGUUGUACCCAGAGUUGGACUCAGCCUUUGCAUGAUCAUCACCUUGCUGUUUUGACUUUAUGGUGUCAGUCUCUGGGUUCCACACUUCACUGCUGGACAGUUAUUGACCUCACUAGGAAUCAAAGAGCCAAGGAGUGCAGAACUGAGUUGUGUGAUUGUGUAAAUGUAUGGACUUUUGCAAGCAUGUUCAGGUGUGGAACGUUCUUCAUUGUAACUCUUUGCUGUCAUAAAGUGAAGUCCACAGUUUUCAAAUCCAUGAUGAACUUCAAUAGCAUUGAAAGAAGGGUGUCAUAUUGUCUUGCAACUCUAGAACAGGGGAACACAAAUUGGUCUGAAGGAAAAGACUUAUGUUCCAUAGUCAAUAUGUAAAAUUUAAAAUUCAGAAAAUAAUCAGAGAAUCUAAUAUCAGUAUUGAAGGUUCAUAUAAUCAAAGUUUGAAGAGUUGGAACGAUUAUAAACAAGUUAAAUAGUUUCAAAAAAAAAAAAAAUACUUCUGGAUUCUGGUUUCUUUCUUUCUUCUUUUUUGUUUUCCUAAUUCAAGAGAGUGAUAGUUAAUGUUUAAUAAACCCUAUCUUAAUUGUGUUUAGCUUAGCAACUGCAACUUUAUCAUCAUUAGAAAUUAUGUUGAACUCUUUAGUUUGUAACUAAUGUGAACUCUUCUACAGUGUGAGGAAGUUCUAGAAGAAGCAUAUGUUUCUAGUGCAAGCAAACAGGUUCCAAAUAUUUCUAGGCUAAAGAGAAGCAAGCAGUCAAAGAGAAAGCAUGCUGUAUAAAGACUCUGUACUAAUAUGAUGAUUGUACUGGUGAGUCUGUAUAUCUCAAGAAAAUGUAUUUUUGUUGAUAUAUAUUAUCAUUCUUGCGUUGGUUAAGUCAUUUAAAGAUGAAUUGCAAAUUGUGGAAAUCAUGCCUAAUAAAGCCUCAAGUAUAUGAAGCAUUGCUUGCUGCCAUCUCAUUGUUGAUAAUUCAAGGCAGCAGUAGUUUCAUUGAAUCCUUAACUUGAAUGCAUUAUUAUUGCAAUAGCGAUAAAUGAGAUGGUGUAGGCGUUCAGUCAUGUUUGCAAUCACUAUAUCUGCUAUAGCAGGAACUCUUAUUUAGCAGGUACCUAGUUGUUUGUUUGCUUGUACCCUAAACUUUUAUUUGUCUGCUGGACAUGUUUUGUAUAUACUUUUUCCUAUGAAACAUCCAAUAUUGCUUGGUUUGGUUCUCAGGAAUCACAUAAAAAUGCACAGUGCUUUAUUUGUUGAAAAUGCCUGAGAAAAGUAUUUCUCAGUUGUUUCACUUUGCCUUUUCCGAUCAGUUUACGAGAACAUCGGGCACUGAAGUAACUUAUGAGUGAAAUAUGCCUAUUUCCACUAUCUGAAAGUAAGCAGAUGAAACCCACGACAAUCUCAAAAGGAAGAGAGAGAGAGAGAGAGAGAGAGAGAGGGGAUGCUGGAAAACAGGCUCAAUCCCAAAUGAAAGAAAGAAAGGAAAAAUAGAGAUAAUAAUCAUGCAUUUUUAAACAAUAUUGGUCUCAGAUGUUCGAAUCUUCAAAUAAGUUUCAUUUUUGUACAAGCAUAAAACCUCAGGGAUCAGGGUUUUCCAACCUAAAUGAAUACAUCUGACCUACUGUAGAUUUUUGUCUACUAGUGCUGAAGAAGUGAAUCCAUUGACUCAGUGCUUAGUUGGUGGGUUGUGAUUGCCUACUGGAUUUGGCCCAGAUGGAGCUUUGUGAACUUUCUUCUCUGCAACCUGUACUUAUGUCAUUGAACAGAUGUAAGUGUAGUUAAGCAAUUCAAUCGCCUAUAUUAAGAGUAUUCAAAAUGUUUUUCGGAUUCAGAUAGAUUAAAUUCCUUACCCAAGAUGGCCAGAUAUUUGCCUUGUGUGACCUUAAGCUUGGUUGUGCAGGCUUGCCUUUGAAAUGAGCUAUAGUAGCAAGAGAAAAGACAGGAUCCACUGUCAGAACUUGUGAGGAUUCUGGUGAGACUAUAUUUCCCCAUGUACAUGGCAUAUUAUUCAGUCAAGAACUUAGUUUAUUAAUGUUGAUUUGUUAUGUAGUAGGUUGCAUUAUACUUAUCUGCAGAAUAUUUAAAAACAAUAAUAGAAAGAUAAAAGGAUGUUACAUGCCUGAUUCAAUGGCUUGAACCUUGCUAUGGUUGCAGAAAUCGUGGAGAGAAGCCACAAGCAGCAGCCAUGUUAGUAGCAGAUGGAUGAGAAGCUGCCUGCUCAUCCUGGGCAUGAGAUGGGUCAUAUUAAGUAAACAGAGAAACUCUUACUUCUAUGGUGGCUUAUACAAGUUUGAAGCAUAUUUUUAUGUGAUAUUUGUUUGAUGGUCAUGGAAAAACUUGAAUAUAAUGUGAGAAUUGUUUGUUAAAGGUGCUUGGGAAUCCUAGGCCAUUAUUUUUGCUGAAUUGAUAAAGAUUAUGAAUCUG